CCUACGGGGGGCAGCAGUGGGGAAUAUUGGACAAUGGGGGGAACCCUGAUCCAGCCAUGCCGCGUGUGUGAAGAAGGCCCUCGGGUUGUAAAGCACUUUCAGUGAGGAAGAACGCCUGGUGGUUAAUACCCAUCAGGAAAGACAUCACUCACAGAAGAAGCACCGGCUAACUCCGUGCCAGCAGCCGCGGUAAUACGGAGGGUGCGAGCGUUAAUCGGAAUUACUGGGCGUAAAGCUCGCGUAGGUGGCUUGAUAAGCCGGUUGUGAAAGCCCCGGGCUCAACCUGGGAACGGCAUCCGGAACUGUCAAGCUAGAGUGCAGGAGAGGAAGGUAGAAUUCCCGGUGUAGCGGUGAAAUGCGUAGAGAUCGGGAGGAAUACCAGUGGCGAAGGCGGCCUUCUGGACUGACACUGACACUGAGGUGCGAAAGCGUGGGUAGCAAACAGGAUUAGAUACCCUUGUAGUC
This 465-nucleotide ribosomal RNA is filed under the name Vreelandella stevensii. Its description in RNAcentral is "partial 16S ribosomal RNA". It matches the Rfam family "Bacterial small subunit ribosomal RNA", at positions 338 to 795 of the family's 1533-position model. Lineage: Bacteria; Pseudomonadati; Pseudomonadota; Gammaproteobacteria; Oceanospirillales; Halomonadaceae. The record is from RNAcentral.